UAAGGUGUGGCUCUGUGGUAGAGCACUUACCUAGCACGAAUAAGGUACUGGGUUCAAUCCUCAGCACCACAU
Molecule: transfer RNA, 72 nt
Filed under: Marmota monax (woodchuck)
Lineage: Eukaryota; Metazoa; Chordata; Mammalia; Rodentia; Sciuridae
Description: tRNA.Ala
Source: RNAcentral